UUUAAAAUGAGAGUUUGAUCCUGGCUCAGGACGAACGCUGGCGGCGUGCCUAAUACAUGCAAGUCGAACGAAACUUUCUUACACCGAAUGCUUGCAUUCAUCGUAAGAAGUUGAGUGGCGGACGGGUGAGUAACACGUGGGUAACCUGCCUAAAAGAAGGGGAUAACACUUGGAAACAGGUGCUAAUACCGUAUGUCUCUAAGGAUCGCAUGACCCUUAGAUGAAAGAUGGUUCUGCUAUCGCUUUUAGAUGGACCCGCGGCGUAUUAACUAGUUGGUGGGGUAACGGCCUACCAAGGUGAUGAUACGUAGCCGAACUGAGAGGUUGAUCGGC
This 333-nucleotide ribosomal RNA is filed under the name Ligilactobacillus salivarius. Its description in RNAcentral is "bacterial SSU rRNA". It matches the Rfam family "Bacterial small subunit ribosomal RNA", at positions 1 to 308 of the family's 1533-position model. Lineage: Bacteria; Bacillati; Bacillota; Bacilli; Lactobacillales; Lactobacillaceae. The record is from RNAcentral.